This 512-nucleotide ribosomal RNA is filed under the name uncultured bacterium. RNAcentral's name for it is "partial 16S ribosomal RNA". It matches the Rfam family "Bacterial small subunit ribosomal RNA", at positions 355 to 860 of the family's 1533-position model. The record is from RNAcentral.
UGGGGAAUUUUGGACAAUGGGCGAAAGCCUGAUCCAGCAAUGCCGCGUGUGUGAAGAAGGCCUUCGGGUUGUAAAACACUUUUGUCCGGAAAGAAAUCCUUGGCUCUAAUACAGUCGGGGGAUGACGGUACCGGAAGAAUAAGCACCGGCUAACUACGUGCCAGCAGCCGCGGUAAUACGUAGGGUGCAAGCGUUAAUCGGAAUUACUGGGCGUAAAGCGUGCGCAGGCGGUUUGCUAAGACCGAUGUGAAAUCCCCGGGCUCAACCUGGGAACUGCAUUGGUGACUGGCAGGCUAGAGUAUGGCAGAGGGGGGUAGAAUUCCACGUGUAGCAGUGAAAUGCGUAGAGAUGUGGAGGAAUACCGAUGGCGAAGGCAGCCCCCUGGGCCAAUACUGACGCUCAUGUACGAAAGCGUGGGGAGCAAACAGGAUUAGAUACCCUGGUAGUCCACGCCCUAAACGAUGUCAACUAGUUGUUGGGGAUUCAUUUCCUUAGUAACGUAGCUAACGCGU